This 71-nucleotide transfer RNA is filed under the name Bos taurus (domestic cattle). It matches the Rfam family "tRNA". From Rfam's summary of the family: Transfer RNA (tRNA) molecules are approximately 80 nucleotides in length. Their secondary structure includes four short double-helical elements and three loops (D, anti-codon, and T loops). Further hydrogen bonds mediate the characteristic L-shaped molecular structure. tRNAs have two regions of fundamental functional importance: the anti-codon, which is responsible for specific mRNA codon recognition, and the 3' end, to which the tRNAs corresponding amino acid is attached (by aminoacyl-tRNA synthetases). tRNAs cope with the degeneracy of the genetic code in two manners: having more than one tRNA (with a specific anti-codon) for a particular amino acid; and 'wobble' base-pairing, i.e. permitting non-standard base-pairing at the 3rd anti-codon position. The record is from Rfam by way of RNAcentral. Lineage: Eukaryota; Metazoa; Chordata; Mammalia; Artiodactyla; Bovidae. RNAcentral also lists the same sequence under 2 other names.
UCCCUGAUGGGCUAGUGGUAAAGACUGCACUUCCAAUGCAGGGGGUGCAGGUUCCAUCCCUGGUCAGGGGA